This 1539-nucleotide ribosomal RNA is filed under the name Shigella flexneri. Its description in RNAcentral is "bacterial SSU rRNA". It matches the Rfam family "Bacterial small subunit ribosomal RNA". The record is from RNAcentral. Lineage: Bacteria; Pseudomonadati; Pseudomonadota; Gammaproteobacteria; Enterobacterales; Enterobacteriaceae.
AAAUUGAAGAGUUUGAUCAUGGCUCAGAUUGAACGCUGGCGGCAGGCCUAACACAUGCAAGUCGAACGGUAACAGGAAGCAGCUUGCUGUUUCGCUGACGAGUGGCGGACGGGUGAGUAAUGUCUGGGAAACUGCCUGAUGGAGGGGGAUAACUACUGGAAACGGUAGCUAAUACCGCAUAACGUCGCAAGACCAAAGAGGGGGACCUUCGGGCCUCUUGCCAUCGGAUGUGCCCAGAUGGGAUUAGCUAGUAGGUGGGGUAACGGCUCACCUAGGCGACGAUCCCUAGCUGGUCUGAGAGGAUGACCAGCCACACUGGAACUGAGACACGGUCCAGACUCCUACGGGAGGCAGCAGUGGGGAAUAUUGCACAAUGGGCGCAAGCCUGAUGCAGCCAUGCCGCGUGUAUGAAGAAGGCCUUCGGGUUGUAAAGUACUUUCAGCGGGGAGGAAGGGAGUAAAGUUAAUACCUUUGCUCAUUGACGUUACCCGCAGAAGAAGCACCGGCUAACUCCGUGCCAGCAGCCGCGGUAAUACGGAGGGUGCAAGCGUUAAUCGGAAUUACUGGGCGUAAAGCGCACGCAGGCGGUUUGUUAAGUCAGAUGUGAAAUCCCCGGGCUCAACCUGGGAACUGCAUCUGAUACUGGCAAGCUUGAGUCUCGUAGAGGGGGUAGAAUUCCAGGUGUAGCGGUGAAAUGCGUAGAGAUCUGGAGGAAUACCGGUGGCGAAGGCGGCCCCUGGACGAAGACUGACGCUCAGGUGCGAAAGCGUGGGGAGCAAACAGGAUUAGAUACCUUGGUAGUCCACGCCGUAAACGAUGUCGACUUGGAGGUUGUGCCCUUGAGGUGUGGCUUCCGGAGCUAACGCGUUAAGUCGACCGCCUGGGGAGUACGGCCGCAAGGUUAAAACUCAAAUGAAUUGACGGGGCCCGCACAAGCGGUGGAGCAUGUGGUUUAAUUCGAUGCAACGCGAAGAACCUUACCUGGUCUUGACAUCCACGGAAGUUUUCAGAGAUGAGAAUGUGCCUUCGGGAACCGUGAGACAGGUGCUGCAUGGCUGUCGUCAGCUCGUGUUGUGAAAUGUUGGGUUAAGUCCCGCAACGAGCGCAACCCUUAUCCUUUGUUGCCAGCGGUCCGGCCGGGAACUCAAAGGAGACUGCCAGUGAUAAACUGGAGGAAGGUGGGGAUGACGUCAAGUCAUCAUGGCCCUUACGACCAGGGCUACACACGUGCUACAAUGGCGCAUACAAAGAGAAGCGACCUCGCGAGAGCAAGCGGACCUCAUAAAGUGCGUCGUAGUCCGGAUUGGAGUCUGCAACUCGACUCCAUGAAGUCGGAAUCGCUAGUAAUCGUGGAUCAGAAUGCCACGGUGAAUACGUUCCCGGGCCUUGUACACACCGCCCGUCACACCAUGGGAGUGGGUUGCAAAAGAAGUAGGUAGCUUAACCUUCGGGAGGGCGCUUACCACUUUGUGAUUCAUGACUGGGGUGAAGUCGUAACAAGGUAACCGUAGGGGAACCUGCGGUUGGAUCACCUCCUUA